Molecule: non-coding RNA, 188 nt
Organism: Oryza meridionalis
Lineage: Eukaryota; Viridiplantae; Streptophyta; Magnoliopsida; Poales; Poaceae
Source: Rfam
UUUAAGUACAACUUUCCGUGUCCAACUUUAAUCGUCCGUCUUAUUUAAUUUUUUUUAUAAUUUUUAUUUUUAUUGUUAUGAGAUAAUAAAAUUUGAAUAGUACUUUAUAUGUGAUUUAUGUUUUUUAAAAAAAUUUAAAUAAGAUAGACGGUCAAAAUUAUACAUGGAAAAUCAUGGAUAGAUUUAAA